RNAcentral lists this transfer RNA (75 nucleotides) under Sphingobacteriales bacterium TSM_CSM. RNAcentral describes it as "tRNA-Glu". It matches the Rfam family "tRNA". Rfam says of the family: Transfer RNA (tRNA) molecules are approximately 80 nucleotides in length. Their secondary structure includes four short double-helical elements and three loops (D, anti-codon, and T loops). The record is from RNAcentral. RNAcentral also lists the same sequence under 2 other names. Lineage: Bacteria; Pseudomonadati; Bacteroidota; Sphingobacteriia; Sphingobacteriales.
GGCCCGUUCGUCUAGGGGUCAGGACACAAGAUUUUCAUUCUUGGAACAGGGGUUCGAUUCCCCUACGGGCUACAA